This 1029-nucleotide ribosomal RNA is filed under the name Didymostilbe matsushimae. RNAcentral's name for it is "LSU rRNA". It matches the Rfam family "Eukaryotic large subunit ribosomal RNA", at positions 58 to 1121 of the family's 3401-position model. Lineage: Eukaryota; Fungi; Ascomycota; Sordariomycetes; Hypocreales; Stachybotryaceae. The record is from RNAcentral.
AAAGAAACCAACAGGGAUUGCCUCAGUAACGGCGAGUGAAGCGGCAACAGCUCAAAUUUGAAAUCUGGCCCCAGGCCCGAGUUGUAAUUUGCAGAGGAUGCUUCUGGCGCGGUGCCUUCCGAGUUCCCUGGAACGGGACGCCAUAGAGGGUGAGAGCCCCGUCUGGUCGGACACCAAGCCUCUGUGAAGCUCCUUCGACGAGUCGAGUAGUUUGGGAAUGCUGCUCUAAAUGGGAGGUAUAUGUCUUCUAAAGCUAAAUACCGGCCAGAGACCGAUAGCGCACAAGUAGAGUGAUCGAAAGAUGAAAAGCACUUUGGAAAGAGAGUUAAACAGCACGUGAAAUUGUUGAAAGGGAAGCGUUCACGACCAGACUUGGGCCCGGUUGAUCAUCCAGCGUUCUCGCUGGUGCACUCUGCCGGCCCAGGCCAGCAUCAGUUCGCGCCGGGGGACAAAGGCGGCGGGAAUGUGGCUCCCCCGGGAGUGUUAUAGCCCGCCGCGCAAUACCCUGGGGUGGACUGAGGUUCGCGCUCUGCAAGGAUGCUGGCGUAAUGGUCGUCAACGACCCGUCUUGAAACACGGACCAAGGAGUCGUCUUCGUAUGCGAGUGUUCGGGUGUCAAACCCCUACGCGUAAUGAAAGUGAACGCAGGUGAGAGCUUCGGCGCAUCAUCGACCGAUCCUGAUGUUCUCGGAUGGAUUUGAGUAAGAGCAUACGGGGCCGGACCCGAAAGAAGGUGAACUAUGCCUGUAUAGGGUGAAGCCAGAGGAAACUCUGGUGGAGGCUCGCAGCGGUUCUGACGUGCAAAUCGAUCGUCAAAUAUGGGCAUGGGGGCGAAAGACUAAUCGAACCUUCUAGUAGCUGGUUUCCGCCGAAGUUUCCCUCAGGAUAGCAGUGUUGAACUCAGUUUUAUGAGGUAAAGCGAAUGAUUAGGGACCCGGGGGCGCUAUAUUGCCUUCAUCCAUUCUCAAACUUUAAAUAUGUAAGAAGCCCUUGUUGCUUAAUUGAACGUGGGCAUUCGAAUGUAUCAAC